RNAcentral lists this ribosomal RNA (608 nucleotides) under Sarcocystis sp. RNAcentral's name for it is "SSU rRNA". It matches the Rfam family "Eukaryotic small subunit ribosomal RNA", at positions 313 to 921 of the family's 1831-position model. The record is from RNAcentral. Lineage: Eukaryota; Apicomplexa; Conoidasida; Eucoccidiorida; Sarcocystidae.
CUUCAGCUUUCGACGGUACUGUAUUGGACUACCGUGGCAGUGACGGGUAACGGGGAAUUAGGGUUCGAUUCCGGAGAGGGAGCCUGAGAAACGGCUACCACAUCUAAGGAAGGCAGCAGGCGCGCAAAUUACCCAAUCCUGACUCAGGGAGGUAGUGACAAGAAAUAACAACACUGGAGAUUUUAUCUCUAGUGAUUGGAAUGAUGGGAAUUUAAACCCCUUUCAGAGUAACAAUUGGAGGGCAAGUCUGGUGCCAGCAGCCGCGGUAAUUCCAGCUCCAAUAGCGUAUAUUAAAGUUGUUGCAGUUAAAAAGCUCGUAGUUGGAUAUCUGCUGGAAGCAACCAGUCCGCCCAUAGGGUGUGCACUUGGUGAAUUCUGGCAUCCUCCUGAGGGUUGUUACCAUUAUCUUUUAUGGUAUUGGUAGCAGUUUUCAGGACCGUUACUUUGAGAAAAUUAGAGUGUUUCAAGCAGGCUUAUUGCCUUGAAUACUGCAGCAUGGAAUAACAAGAUAGGAUUUCGGUUCUAUUUUGUUGGUUUCUAGGACUGAAGUAAUGAUUAAUAGGGACAGUUGGGGGCAUUCGUAUUUAACUGUCAGAGGUGAAAUCUUU